AUUGAACGCUGGCGGCAGGCCUAACACAUGCAAGUCGAGCGAGCGGCGGACGGGUGAGUAAUGUCUGGGAAACUGCCUGAUGGAGGGGGAUACCUACUGGAAACGGUAGCUAAUCCCGCAUACCAUCAGAUGUGCCCAGAUGGGAUUAGCUAGUAGGUGGGGAAACGGCUCACGUAGGCGACGAUCCCUAGCUUGUCUGAGAGGAUGACCAGCCAAACUGGAACUGAGAAACGGUCCAGACUCCGACGGGAGGCAGCAGUGGGGAAUAUUGACCAAUGGGCGCAAGCCUGAUGCAGCCAUGCCGCGUGUGUGAAGAAGGCCUUCGGGUUGUAAAGCACUUUCAGCGGGGAGGCGUUACCCGCAGAAGAAGCACCGGCUAACUCCGUGCCAGCAGCCGCGGUAUAC
RNAcentral lists this ribosomal RNA (405 nucleotides) under uncultured bacterium. Its description in RNAcentral is "partial 16S ribosomal RNA". It matches the Rfam family "Bacterial small subunit ribosomal RNA", at positions 30 to 526 of the family's 1533-position model. The record is from RNAcentral.